AUCCUCCAAGGCUAAAUACUCCUGACUGACCGAUAGUGAACCAGUACCGUGAGGGAAAGGCGAAAAGAACCCCGGCGAGGGGAGUGAAAAAGAACCUGAAACCGUGUACGUACAAGCAGUGGGAGCCUCUUUUAUGGGGUGACUGCGUACCUUUUGUAUAAUGGGUCAGCGACUUAUAUUCUGUAGCAAGGUUAACCGUAUAGGGGAGCCGGAGGGAAACCGAGUCUUAAUUGGGCGUUAAGUUGCAGGGUAUAGACCCGAAACCCGGUGAUCUAGCCAUGGGCAGGUUGAAGGUUGGGUAACACUAACUGGAGGACCGAACCGAC
This 326-nucleotide ribosomal RNA is filed under the name Salmonella enterica subsp. enterica serovar Braenderup. RNAcentral describes it as "bacterial LSU rRNA". It matches the Rfam family "Bacterial large subunit ribosomal RNA", at positions 455 to 783 of the family's 2925-position model. The record is from RNAcentral. Lineage: Bacteria; Pseudomonadati; Pseudomonadota; Gammaproteobacteria; Enterobacterales; Enterobacteriaceae.